This 63-nucleotide small RNA is filed under the name Gloeocapsa sp. PCC 73106. Its description in RNAcentral is "Cyanobacterial functional RNA 1". It matches the Rfam family "Cyanobacterial functional RNA 1". The record is from Rfam by way of RNAcentral. Lineage: Bacteria; Bacillati; Cyanobacteriota; Cyanophyceae; Chroococcidiopsidales; Chroococcidiopsidaceae.
GCGGAGACAAAUGUUUCCGUUCACUCCUCACACCACACCCCGCUCGGACCUAGUCCGGGCGUU